GACGAACGCUGGCGGCGUGCUUAACACAUGCAAGUCGAACGGUGAAGGGACCAGCUUGCUGGUUCUGGAUGAGUGGCGAACGGGUGAGUAACACGUGAGUAACCUGCCCCCUUCUUCUGGAUAACCGCAUGAAAGUGUGGCUAAUACGGGAUAUUCUGGGUCUGUCGCAUGGCGGGCCCGGGAAAGAUAUUGCUUCGGUGGGGGAUGGGCUCGCGGCCUAUCAGCUUGUUGGUGGGGUGAUGGCCUACCAAGGCGGUGACGGGUAGCCGGCCUGAGAGGGUGGACGGUCACACGGGGACUGGGACACGGCCCAGACUCCUACGGGAGGCAGCAGUGGGGAAUAUUGCACAAUGGGCGCAAGCCUGAUGCAGCGACGCCGCGUGAGGGAUGGAGGCCUUCGGGUUGUAAACCUCUUUCGCCAGUGAAGCAGGCCUGCUCCUUGUGGGUGGGUUGACGGUAGCUGGAUAAGAAGCGCCGGCUAACUACGUG
This 489-nucleotide ribosomal RNA is filed under the name uncultured bacterium. RNAcentral's name for it is "partial 16S ribosomal RNA". It matches the Rfam family "Bacterial small subunit ribosomal RNA", at positions 28 to 507 of the family's 1533-position model. The record is from RNAcentral.